CCUACGGGAGGCAGCAGUGGGGAAUAUUGGACAAUGGGCGAAAGCCUGAUCCAGCAAUGCCGCGUGAGUGAUGAAGGCCUUCGGGUCGUAAAGCUCUUUUACCAGGGAUGAUAAUGACAGUACCUGGAGAAUAAGCUCCGGCUAACUCCGUGCCAGCAGCCGCGGUAAUACGGAGGGAGCUAGCGUUGUUCGGAAUUACUGGGCGUAAAGAGUACGUAGGCGGUUAUUCAAGUCAGAGGUGAAAGCCCGGGGCUCAACCCCGGAACUGCCUUUGAAACUAGAUAACUAGAGUCUUGGAGAGGUUAGUGGAAUUCCGAGUGUAGAGGUGAAAUUCGUAGAUAUUCGGAAGAACACCAGUGGCGAAGGCGACUAACUGGACAAGUACUGACGCUGAGGUACGAAAGCGUGGGGAGCAAACAGGAUUAGAUACCCUGGUAGUCCACGCCGUAAACGAUGAUAACUAGUUGUUCGGUCACUUGGUGACUGAGUGACGCAGCUAACGCAUUAAGUUAUCCGCCUGGGGAGUACGGUCGCAAGNUUAAACUUAAAGGAAUUGACGGNUGNGANGCGAGACGACACGAGGAGAG
RNAcentral lists this ribosomal RNA (587 nucleotides) under uncultured bacterium. Its description in RNAcentral is "bacterial SSU rRNA". It matches the Rfam family "Bacterial small subunit ribosomal RNA", at positions 338 to 948 of the family's 1533-position model. The record is from RNAcentral.